AGAGUUUGAUCCUGGCUCAGGAUGAACGCUAGCGACAGGCUUAACACAUGCAAGUCGAGGGGCAGCGGGGGCGUAGCAAUAUGCCUGCCGGCGACCGGCGCACGGGUGAGUAACACGUAUGUAACCUGCCCUAUGCAGGGGGAUAACCCGGAGAAAUCCGGCCUAAUACCGCGUAACACCUUAGGGGAGCAUUCUCUUGAGGUUAAAGGAGAGAUCCGGCAUAGGAUGGACAUGCGUCGCAUUAGGUAGACGGCGGGGUAACGGCCCACCGUGCCGACGAUGCGUAGGGGUUCUGAGAGGAAGGCCCCCCACACUGGUACUGAGACACGGACCAGACUCCUACGGGAGGCAGCAGUGAGGAAUAUUGGUCAAUGGCCGAGAGGCUGAACCAGCCAAGUCGCGUGAGGGAAGAAUGUCCUAAGGAUUGUAAACCUCUUUUGUCGGGGAGCAAAAAGGCUCUGCGGAGUCGUAUUGAGAGUACCCGAAGAAAAAGCAUCGGCUAACUCCGUGCCAGCAGCCGCGGUAAUACGGAGGAUGCGAGCGUUAUCCGGAUUUAUUGGGUUUAAAGGGUGCGCAGGCGGCGUGUCAAGCAAGCGGUAAAAUAGCGGGGCUCAACCCCGUCGAGCCGUUUGAACUGGCGCGCUUGAGUUCAGGCGAGGUAGGCGGAAUUCGUGGUGUAGCGGUGAAAUGCAUAGAUAUCACGAAGAACUCCGAUUGCGAAGGCAGCUUACCAGUCUGCGACUGACGCUCAGGCACGAAAGUGUGGGUAUCGAACAGGAUUAGAUACCCUGGUAGUCCACACAGUAAACGAUGAGCGCUAGGUGUCCGGGUGGCAUGAGACUUGGGUGCCCGAGCGAAAGCGUUAAGCGCUCCGCCUGGGGAGUACGCCGGCAACGGUGAAACUCAAAGGAAUUGACGGGGGCCCGCACAAGCGGAGGAACAUGUGGUUUAAUUCGAUGAUACGCGAGGAACCUUACCCGGGCUCAAACGACUCAGGAAUAUAUUGGAAACGAUGUAGCCAGCAAUGGUCUGAGUCGAGGUGCUGCAUGGUUGUCGUCAGCUCGUGCCGUGAGGUGUCGGCUUAAGUGCCAUAACGAGCGCAACCCCUACCGCCAGUUGCCAACGGGUAAAGCCGGGAACUCUGGCGGGACUGCCGGCGCAAGCUGCGAGGAAGGCGGGGAUGACGUCAAAUCAGCACGGCCCUUACGUCCGGGGCGACACACGUGUUACAAUGGCAGGUACAGCGGGAAGCCACCUGGUGACAGGGAGCGGAACCCGAAAGCCUGUCUCAGUUCGGAUUGGAGUCUGCAACUCGACUCCAUGAAGCUGGAUUCGCUAGUAAUCGCGCAUCAGCCAUGGCGCGGUGAAAACGUUCCCGGGCCUUGUACUCACCGCCCGUCA
RNAcentral lists this ribosomal RNA (1401 nucleotides) under uncultured bacterium. RNAcentral describes it as "16S ribosomal RNA". It matches the Rfam family "Bacterial small subunit ribosomal RNA". The record is from RNAcentral.